This 84-nucleotide transfer RNA is filed under the name Deltaproteobacteria bacterium. RNAcentral's name for it is "tRNA-Leu". It matches the Rfam family "tRNA". Rfam says of the family: Transfer RNA (tRNA) molecules are approximately 80 nucleotides in length. RNAcentral also lists the same sequence under 2 other names. The record is from RNAcentral. Lineage: Bacteria; Pseudomonadati; Myxococcota; Myxococcia.
GCCGGGGUGGCGGAACUGGUAGACGCAGGGGACUCAAAAUCCCCCGUCCUCCGGGACAUAAGGGUUCAAUUCCCUUCCCCGGCA